RNAcentral lists this non-coding RNA (29 nucleotides) under Rattus norvegicus (Norway rat). The record is from RNAcentral. Lineage: Eukaryota; Metazoa; Chordata; Mammalia; Rodentia; Muridae.
UCUUUCAGUCGUCUGCUGACCUCAGGCAA